UGGGGAAUUUUGGACAAUGGGGGCAACCCUGACCCAGCCAUGCCGCGUGAGUGAAGAAGGCCUUCGGGUUGUAAAGCUCUUUCAGCCGGGAAGAAAACGCAUGGGUUAAUACCCUGUGUGGAUGACGGUACCGGAAUAAGAAGCACCGGCUAACUACGUGCCAGCAGCCGCGGUAAUACGUAGGGUGCGAGCGUUAAUCGGAAUUACUGGGCGUAAAGCGUGCGCAGGCGGUUUUGUAAGACAGGCGUGAACUCCCCGGGCUCCACCUGGGAACUGCGUGUGUGACUGCAAGGCUAGAGUAUGGCAGAGAGGGGUGGAAUUCCACGUGUAGCAGUGAAAUGAGUAGGGAUGUGGAGGAACACCGAUGGCGGAGGCAGCCCCCUGGGCGAGUACUGACGCUCAUGCACGAAAGCGUGGGUAGCAAACA
Molecule: ribosomal RNA, 427 nt
Filed under: uncultured bacterium
Lineage: Bacteria
Description: bacterial SSU rRNA
Rfam family: Bacterial small subunit ribosomal RNA
Source: RNAcentral